GGUGAGUAACACGUGAGUAACCUGCCCUUGACUCUGGGAUAAGCGCUGGAAACGGCGUCUAAUACCGGAUACGACCUUCUUCCGCAUGGAAUGGGGGUGGAAAGUUUUUCGGUCAAGGAUGGACUCGCGGCCUAUCAGCUUGUUGGUGAGGUAAUGGCUCACCAAGGCGACGACGGGUAGCCGGCCUGAGAGGGUGACCGGCCACACUGGGACUGAGACACGGCCCAGACUCCUACGGGAGGCAGCAGUGGGGAAUAUUGCACAAUGGGCGAAAGCCUGAUGCAGCAACGCCGCGUGAGGGAUGACGGCCUUCGGGUUGUAAACCUCUUUUAGUAGGGAAGAAGCGAAAGUGACGGUACCUGCAGAAAAAGCACCGGCUAACUACGUGCCAGCAGCCGCGGUAAUACGUAGGGUGCAAGCGUUGUCCGGAAUUAUUGGGCGUAAAGAGCUCGUAGGCGGUUUGUCGCGUCUGCUGUGAAAACCCGAGGCUCAACCUCGGGCCUGCAGUGGGUACGGGCAGACUAGAGUGCGGUAGGGGAGAAUGGAAUUCCUGGUGUAGCGGUGGAAUGCGCAGAUAUCAGGAGGAACACCGAUGGCGAAGGCAGUUCUCUGGGCCGUAACUGACGCUGAGGAGCGAAAGCGUGGGGAGCGAACAGGAUUAGAUACCCUGGUAGUCCACGCCGUAAACGUUGGGCGCUAGAUGUGGGGACCUUUCCACGGUUUCCGUGUCG
RNAcentral lists this ribosomal RNA (731 nucleotides) under Microbacteriaceae bacterium. Its description in RNAcentral is "bacterial SSU rRNA". It matches the Rfam family "Bacterial small subunit ribosomal RNA", at positions 105 to 848 of the family's 1533-position model. Lineage: Bacteria; Bacillati; Actinomycetota; Actinomycetes; Micrococcales; Microbacteriaceae. The record is from RNAcentral.